Cuculus canorus (common cuckoo) is the source of this 3887-nucleotide long non-coding RNA. RefSeq lists it as uncharacterized. Lineage: Eukaryota; Metazoa; Chordata; Aves; Cuculiformes; Cuculidae. The record is from RefSeq and is a predicted model, not a curated record. The transcript has 4 exons.
CUACAGCUAUGACUGUCACCAAUUUUAAUCAGUGUCACAACCUUUCAUACUAAAUCUAGAACUUAGAAAACUUCAACUUCCAUCUGUAAGCAUGGGCAGUAGCAGGAAAAACUGUGGCUGAGGGGAAGAGAGAAAAAAGCCCCUCACUGGAGGACCUCUAUCUUGCUCAGCCUUCUCUAGGGGAACAGGAUGCUGCCUUUGCUACUGCCUGGGAAUACAUUGUCAGCCUCACUGCUGGCUGGACCUGGGGAUGCAGCAGCCUCGCUUGUUUCAGAUCACUGUGUAGGCAUUUCACCUUGGAAGUGAUUCUUAGCUAAGCAACUGAUUGGAAGUACAGAAAUAUUCAUUCUCUACAUAUACAGUGUGAUGACAACUGCAGUGUCUGAAAUGAUUGCUGGCGUCACAAGCCUGUUGACCCAAAGACAAAAUUCACCAGGCUGCUGCUGUCGUUUGAAAGAUAGAGGUUAUGGAGGAGGAGGGGAGGAAAAACAACCGAUGCAGGACACAAAACUUAAUGAACCUGAAGGAAAAGGAUCCAUCAGCCAAAGCAACACAUUCCUGCUAGCAGACACUGCCACCUGUUGGAGAACAGCUUCGGAGGCCGAGCAGAAAAGAGGAUGGUCCAUCUUUUCCAUAAAUUUUCAGUCUUGGUUCUAUACUUCCCUUUAUGUCAAAAGAGUCAAACAGUUUUAAUUUUUAAGCUAACUUCCAGCACAGAAAAAAAGGAUAUUUACAAAAGGAUCCCUAAACGAGUUUGCUUGGUUUUUUCCUCAGUUUCUUAAAAAGCAAGAUAUACUUUUACAGUCCGUUUAUCUUGACUGUUUCUACUAUUUUGGAACUUGUUAGCCAAUUUCAAUCAAAUUUUACACAGAAGAAAUCUCUCUGAUAACAUCAUCUCAACUUGUUUCCUGAAAAUUAGCAGCUGAGAAGAUUACCCAUGUUCAAAUCCAUGCUUCAUUUUGAGAGACUGAAGGAGGAACUUGGCUAUGACUCUUCUCGGCUGAUAGCAGCCCGUCAACCAGUAUGGAUGUGGGUUUCCACUAGUCACUGCAAAUAGUCUUUCUUACUCCAGACCACUGUGCUGACCUCAGAUACGCAAGGACAGGACAGAGGAGGCUCAUUGCGGUAGAAAAUGGAUCACAGGUCCAUUGGAUGCAAACAUAAUUGGCUCUGCUACUCUUUUGGUGGCUUGUCUUGCCAAUACAAAGAGACAGAGCCCACAAUAAAACUAAAUACUUUCCACUCUUUGGAAGUGUUUUGUAUAUAUCAUGCAUGAAACAAAAUUACAAAAGAUACUGGCUUAGAGUUUUCCAAUGUGUUUUAUCUGAAGUCUGACACCAAACUAGUUAAUCAGAUUUAAAGAAAAAAAAAAAUCUAUCUAUAAUGCAAUAAAACUGAGCUAUUGUUAAAAAAAAUCUUACCACAUCUGUUGAGACAGAAACAACAGAUUCUGUUAUUUUCGCUGUCCUUUUUGCCCUUCUUACCAGAGGAGGGUUUGGGUUUAUUCUCCCUUUUUAAACAAGCUCCCCAGUUUCAAUUCCACUUUGACAGAGGCAGAGAUAUCGGGUUCUUGGAAGAGUCCUGACUAUAGGUGUACAAAGACAGCCUCAAUACCUACUUCGUGGAGGGCCAGGCUGCAGCCAGAGCUCAGCCACACCAUUAGACACAAGGGGCUGCGCAGGAAGCCAGAUGUCAGUCAGCAGCUACAAAAAUCUGCAGUUGCACACUGCUGCCUGCUAUGACUGGUGAGCAUUUUAUCUCACAGUGCAGUUUGUAGCUGCAACCCGUUGUGAAAUCCCUCUUCUGAUCUGCCUUUUUCUGUUUUUAUGAAAAAGUCUCCGCACUGACAUUGGAUCUCCCUCCAUCUCUCAGACAGGGAACUGUGCAGUUUCAUAUCAUGCCAGAAAACUUCUGUACAGCCGCUGGGGGCAGUGAUGCCAAGGGGUAGGUUUCAAAGAAGCCUGCCCAUCGCUGGCCAGUUGAACUACUUUCCAACCUUAUAGGAUGCUCUCUACCAUCACCAUAAAGAAGACUGUGAGGACAUUGCCUUCAUAAGGUCAGAAGCAUUUAUAUGUUGCCCUUGUACAGCAAAAGGGAAUAAGGCAAGAGACAGUCAUUCAAUGUCUCUCCCAGAACAAUCUUUCCCAGUAAGCCUUCCCUUCCACCCAGCUGUCUUUGCUAGGCUGGUACUUCUUUGUCAUCUCUCUCUUGCACCCCAUCCCCAUCUGCAUUUGUGCAAAACUGGAUCUUGAUGUGAAGAGCAGUGGAGACUGAAACGUUAAUAACUCCAAAGAGAGUUACUGGGGCUGUGAAUGAAAAAUGACAGAGAAGAAGUUGCAAUGAGUGUCACACAUGAGAUUCAGUGCUGGAAGGGGCAGAGUAAAAUGUUAAUUGUACAGUAUACGAAAUUUUGCUUUCAGGGGCCAUGUCUCCUCCUUCCUUCCUUCUUAGCUUAUUUGAAAAGCAGGAGCAGCAGCAUGUUAAGCUGCAGAGGAUGCUGGAGAAAGGAAGACUUUGACGUAGUCAUAUCAGAGACAGCACCCUCAGCAAGGCAGACGCUAAGAGACACCGUGGUCUUUCUCUGCUGAUGAUGUUCCUCUCCAGCAAGAAAGGUGAGACAAGAGAAUAUAUCGAGCCUUAUGCCUUAGCUGAAAAAUGCUGGAACCUCACUGGUUAGAAGCUACGAGCCCAGGAUCUGAAAAUGUCAGAAGAACACCACAUAUCUCUAAAUCAGUACAGGCUGUACUAGUCUUUAAAUGCAGUAAGAUGUGUUAAACAUCACAGAUAACUGACUAGCUAGUUAUUUCAAUCUUCUGUGGUGAAAUACGACAGUAGCUACACUCAGCUGAAGUUCACAGAUAAAUUCAAAACCCAAGCCGAAUCUUGCAACAGCUAUUCUAGAUUGGAUCCAAUCAGAACAGCACUUGUUACAAUUCUGUUGGCAGCCAGGGAUCAGAAGAACAACUGAUCUGAAACUAUUUAUCCUGCUUCAGCUUAAAGUCUGAAGCAUCUUAGGGAAGGAUGCUCUUAAAACUCCUGUUGUUAGAGUGGCUACUAUUCAGCAUCUCUGAAUUAAGGCUUGAACACAAAAUAAUUUUCCACUCCCUGCAGAUUCAAAAAAAACUUGCUCCCACCUACCAGGGGAGAAUGUUCUCAAAUGUCAUCUUGUGCAAAGAGAACAAAAGCUGGACAUUUUCUAGUCUUAUUAGACAAAGGGAUUGCUCACUGCACAAGAAGAACACAGAAGGUAAUUUAUUCCACCCUUGAAAAGCUAGUCUCAUCAGAGACAGAAAUUCAGAAUAACUUUUUUUUUUUUUUCAGUUGACAUCUUUAAAGAAUGCUACAACUUUGGUGAGUCAACAAGAGUGAAUCAAUAAUUUCAUUUUCCUGGGAAAAGAAAAAGCAUUACUCCUUUGGAAUUUCUGUAGCAGAACCAAAAACAGAUACUAAUUCAUUGAGCUGAAGAAUGCUGUUUGGAAUAUAUGACACCUAAAGGCUUGCCUGAAUCCUUGUCCAGUCCAGAUACUGACAGAAGAACAUACUGGGGUGAUGCUAAGUUUCCAGCAUUCCAUUAAGAAGUGACAAAUAACAUGAUCCCAGUCAAGACAAGAAGUAAUUUAGCCCUUUGCAGUUCUAACAACCUGAAGGCAGGUAGUCUCUCUCUGAGAUGAUGCCCCUGAAAACAAGUCAAGCAAAGCCAAUUCAAUCUAUCAUGGUCUUACUGAGCUGCCUAUAGCACUGUUCCAGACUGCACUCUUCUGCAAGCCUUAGCAUCUUUCAUCUGCUGACUUGCUCUCAAUGUCAAUGGUAUAGAUGCCUUGGCCAGGAAAAUGGAUCAUGGCAAGAAUUUCUCCUCUGGCCUCAGGAUAUCUCAUGAAAUUGGCCAA